This 468-nucleotide ribosomal RNA is filed under the name uncultured bacterium. RNAcentral's name for it is "partial 16S ribosomal RNA". It matches the Rfam family "Bacterial small subunit ribosomal RNA", at positions 28 to 507 of the family's 1533-position model. The record is from RNAcentral.
GACGAACGCUGGCGGCGUGCUUAACACAUGCAAGUCGAACGGAAAGGCCCUGCUUUUGUGGGGUGCUCGAGUGGCGAACGGGUGAGUAACACGUGAGUAACCUGCCCUUGACUUUGGGAUAACUUCAGGAAACUGGGGCUAAUACCGGAGAGGAGCUCCUGCUGCAUGGUGGGGGUUGGAAAGUUUCGGCGGUUGGGGCUGGACUCGCGGCUUAUCAGCUUGUGGGUGGGGUAGUGGCUUACCAAGGCUUUGACGGGUAGCCGGCCUGAGAGGGUGACCGGCCACAUUGGGACUGCGGUACGGCCCAGACUCCUACGGGAGGCAGCAGUGGGGAAUAUUGCCCAAUGGGCGGAAGCCUGAUGCAGCAACGCCGCGUGCGGGAUGACGGCCUUCGGGUUGUAAACCGCUUUCGCCUGUGACGAAGCGUGAGUGACGGUAAUGGGUAAAGAAGCACCGGCUAACUACGUG